Molecule: small nuclear RNA, 89 nt
Filed under: Vulpes vulpes (red fox)
Lineage: Eukaryota; Metazoa; Chordata; Mammalia; Carnivora; Canidae
Also listed under: 1 other name
Source: RNAcentral
GUGCUUCCUUCGGCAGCACAUAUAUUAAAAUUGGAAUGAUACAGAGAAGAUGUACAAAGAUGACGUGAAUUUGUGAAGCAUUUAUUUUU